GCCGGGCAUAGUGGUGCAUGCCUGUAAUCCCAGCUGCUAGGGAGGCUGAGGCAGGAGGAUUGCGAGUUCCAAGCCAGCCUCAGCAAAAGCGAGGUGCUAAGCAACUCAGUGAGACCCUGUCUUUA
This 125-nucleotide small RNA is filed under the name Marmota monax (woodchuck). The record is from RNAcentral. Lineage: Eukaryota; Metazoa; Chordata; Mammalia; Rodentia; Sciuridae.